AGACAAGUUCUUAAAAAUAAAUUUUAAUUGUUCAAUGCGGUGUGGUGGGAGACGAAUUAGAAACGAUAAUCGUGUUACACUUGACACCUCAUUGUUAAAAUACAGAGGGAAUGAUGCUAGGGUUCCGUGAACUAUCUUAUGUUAAUAAAAUGUAGAAGUAUAGAGUUAAUAUCUUGUAGUAGCGUAAGAGUAUAUAUCAUGAAAAAAAAAAGUUUUAGAUAAAAAUUUGAUGAUGCAUAAUUUAUUUGUUUAAGUUACGUGAAUUCGGUUAGAAAGUUCGGUAAGAAGACCGUGUGUUGGCAAAUGUGGACGGCCUCGGGCCUGCUUGACCGACGAUCUACUUAAGAUUGCCAAUGGUGACUGGAUGAGGGUUGCGGAAAACCGGGAUGUUUGGCCUAUGUCCAGCAGCCGACUGCGAUAGUGUGUUGAUCCCGUCAGCUCAGACAAUGCUAUACAUGUCAGAGGUAGGAGAGUAAACUGCUAAGCCAGCGGCGCAGACGGCGGGUGAGCGUGGGAUCUUUUCACCUGAGGCCGCGGUGAGCGCGACGUGAG
This 552-nucleotide unclassified non-coding RNA is filed under the name Melitaea cinxia (Glanville fritillary). Its description in RNAcentral is "misc RNA ENSMCXG00005010486.1". The record is from RNAcentral. Lineage: Eukaryota; Metazoa; Arthropoda; Insecta; Lepidoptera; Nymphalidae.